GAGACUCUGUGCGCGUGCAUAUCAAUAAGCGGAGGAAAAGAAACUAACAAGGAUUCCCUUAGUAACGGCGAGUGAAGCGGGAAGAGCUCAAAUUUGAAAUCUUCAAGGUUCUACCUUGACGAAUUGUAGUUUAUAGAAGUGUUUUCUGUUAGUGGAGUGGCAAAAGUUCUUUGGAAUAGGACAUCAUAGAGGGUGAGAAUCCCGUAUUUGGUCAUUCCUCCUAGCGUUGUGAUACACUUUCAACGAGUCGGAUUGUUUGGGAAUGCAGUCCAAAAUGGGUGGUAAAUUUCAUCUAAAGCUAAAUAUUGGCGAGAGACCGAUAGCGAACAAGUACCGUGAGGGAAAGAUGAAAAGAACUUUGAAAAGAGAGUUAAACAGUACGUGAAAUUGUCAAAAGGGAAGCGUUUGACACCAGUGUUGUUUUUCCGAAAAUCAAUUACGAAUGUUUUGUUUUUGAGGAGUUAUGACUUCAUCGGCUUGCUCCUUUCUUUAUGAAACUUUCUUAAUGCACUUUUCGGUUAACAAGUCAACAUCAAUUUCUUUUGUUGUAAAAGGGUAUGAGGAAGGUGGCUUUCUUUUCGGAGAAAGUGUUUAUAGCCUUGUGCCUCUGCAAUCGGAGAGAUUGAGGUCUGCAGCGUAGAUCCUUCGGGGUUAGAUACGUUUGUGCUAAGUUAUAGCUUUUCAUAGACAACUUGUUGACUAUGUUUAGUCUUGUAGCUUACUCGCUUACUGCUAUUUUACCUACGCUUAGGAUGUUGAACUCUAUCACACACAG
This 775-nucleotide ribosomal RNA is filed under the name uncultured Neocallimastigales. RNAcentral's name for it is "partial large subunit ribosomal RNA". It matches the Rfam family "Eukaryotic large subunit ribosomal RNA", at positions 23 to 621 of the family's 3401-position model. The record is from RNAcentral. Lineage: Eukaryota; Fungi; Neocallimastigomycota; Neocallimastigomycetes; Neocallimastigales.